This 253-nucleotide ribosomal RNA is filed under the name uncultured bacterium. RNAcentral's name for it is "partial 16S ribosomal RNA". It matches the Rfam family "Bacterial small subunit ribosomal RNA", at positions 524 to 776 of the family's 1533-position model. The record is from RNAcentral.
GACAGAGGUGCCAAGCGUUAGGCGGAAUCACUGGGCUUAAAGCGUGUGUAGGCGGAUCGUUAAGUACCUUGUGAAAUCCCACGGCUCAACCGUGGAACUGCUCGGUAUACUGGCGAUCUUGAGCCACCUAGGGGCAACUGGAACAAGCGGUGGAGCGGUGAAAUGCGUAGAUAUUGGGAAGAACACCUGAGGCGAAGGCGGGUUGCUGGGCCGACACUGACGCUGAGGCGCGAAAGCCAGGGGAGCGAACGGG